GUGCAUGAGCACGCGCCACGACGUCCUGCGGCCACAGACGCGCAUCCGGAAACCGCUCGGCGGCGUAUUCGAUGAUCGCCAGCGAAUCCCAGACCGUGAUGUCGCCGUCGACCAGCGCNUGCCCGACCGGGUGACAUCCAGAAUGCGCUGCUUGUCCGCAUCACCGGUGUAGAGCGGAAUGACGAUCUCGUCGAAGGUGAUUCCCGUCCCUUUCAGGGCCAUCCACGGCCGCAUCGACCAUGAGGAAUAGUUCUUGUUCCCGAUAACGAGCGUCAAAGCCAUCGAUUGAGUUCUCCCUGCAAAGUCGACCUUGC
Molecule: unclassified non-coding RNA, 314 nt
Filed under: Hevea brasiliensis (rubber tree)
Lineage: Eukaryota; Viridiplantae; Streptophyta; Magnoliopsida; Malpighiales; Euphorbiaceae
Source: RNAcentral